Molecule: ribosomal RNA, 850 nt
Filed under: uncultured Granulicatella sp.
Lineage: Bacteria; Bacillati; Bacillota; Bacilli; Lactobacillales; Carnobacteriaceae
Description: bacterial SSU rRNA
Rfam family: Bacterial small subunit ribosomal RNA
Source: RNAcentral
UGCUAAUACAUGCAAGUCGAACGAGAGCGACCGGUGUUUGCACUGGUCAAUCUAGUGGCGAACGGGUGAGUAACACGUGGGUAACCUGCCCAUCAGAGGGGGAUAACAUCCGGAAACGGAUGCUAAAACCGCAUAGGUCUUCGAGCCGCAUGGCUUGAAGAGGAAAAGAGGCGCAAGCUUCUGCUGAUGGAUGGACCCGCGGUGCAUUAGCUAGUUGGUGAGGUAACGGCUCACCAAGGCCGUGAUGCAUAGCCGACCUGAGAGGGUGAUCGGCCACAUUGGGACUGAGACACGGCCCAAACUCCUACGGGAGGCAGCAGUAGGGAAUCUUCCGCAAUGGACGCAAGUCUGACGGAGCAACGCCGCGUGAGUGAAGAAGGUUUUCGGAUCGUAAAACUCUGUUGUUAGAGAAGAACAAGUGCUAGAGUAACUGUUAGCGCCUUGACGGUAUCUAACCAGAAAGCCACGGCUAACUACGUGCCAGCAGCCGCGGUAAUACGUAGGUGGCAAGCGUUGUCCGGAUUUAUUGGGCGUAAAGCGAGCGCAGGCGGUUGCUUAAGUCUGAUGUGAAAGCCCCCGGCUCAACCGGGGAGGGUCAUUGGAAACUGGGGAACUUGAGUGCAGAAGAGGAGAGUGGAAUUCCAUGUGUAGCGGUGAAAUGCGUAGAUAUAUGGAGGAACACCAGUGGCGAAGGCGACUCUCUGGUCUGUAACUGACGCUGAGGCUCGAAAGCGUGGGUAGCAAACAGGAUUAGAUACCCUGGUAGUCCACGCCGUAAACGAUGAGUGCUAAGUAUUGGAGGGUUUCCGCCCUUCAGUGCUGCAGUUAACGCAUUAAGCACUCCGCCUGG